RNAcentral lists this transfer RNA (82 nucleotides) under Smittium simulii. It matches the Rfam family "tRNA". From Rfam's summary of the family: Transfer RNA (tRNA) molecules are approximately 80 nucleotides in length. Lineage: Eukaryota; Fungi; Kickxellomycota; Harpellomycetes; Harpellales; Legeriomycetaceae. The record is from Rfam by way of RNAcentral.
GUCAGUAUGUCCGAGUGGUUAAGGAGACAGACUCGAAAUCUGUUGGGCUCUGCCCGCACAGGUUCAAAUCCUGUUGCUGACG